This 497-nucleotide ribosomal RNA is filed under the name uncultured bacterium. RNAcentral describes it as "partial 16S ribosomal RNA". It matches the Rfam family "Bacterial small subunit ribosomal RNA", at positions 27 to 507 of the family's 1533-position model. The record is from RNAcentral.
GGGGGGGGGGGGGGGGGGGGCGGGGGGAUGGGGGGCGGGGGGGCGGAGGGGAGGCGGGCUUCUGUGGGGUUAGCGGCGGGCGGGUGAGGAACACGUGGAUAGCCUACCUGUAAGACGGGGAUAACUUCGGGGAACCGGAGCUCAUACCGGAUGAUAUUUUGAACCGCAUGGUUCAAAAGUGAAAGCCGGUCUUGCUGUCACUUAUAUAUAGAUCCGCGCUGCAUUAGCUAGUUGGUAAGGUACCGUCCUACCAAGGCAACGAUGCAUAGCCGACCUGAGAGGGUGAGCGGCCACACUGGAACUGAGACACGGUCCAGACUCCUACGGGAGGCAGCAGUAGGGAAUCUUCCGCAAUGGGCGAAAGCCUGACGGAGCAACGCCGCGUGAGUGAUGAAGGUCUUCGGAUCGUAAAACUCUGUUAUUAGGGAAGAACAUAUGUGUAAGUAACUGUGCACAUCUUGACGGUACCUAAUCAGAAAGCCACGGCUAACUACGUG